Molecule: long non-coding RNA, 374 nt
Organism: Ornithorhynchus anatinus (platypus)
Lineage: Eukaryota; Metazoa; Chordata; Mammalia; Monotremata; Ornithorhynchidae
Exons: 2
Source: RefSeq, a predicted model, not a curated record
CAGCCAGAUCCCUUCCUCUUCCUAGGAAUCUCCUUCUUCAAACUUCCCAAACAGAAUAGAGCUGAAGAGACAAAAGGCCAACAGAAAGAGUUACUAGAGGUGAGAUCUGGAAAAGUGGUUCCUCUCUCCACAGAAAAUGGAUUUCCACAAAGAAGCAAAGGAAGGAACAGAAACAGAAAAAUUGCUGAGAAUUAGGAGAGGACAACAAAAUGAAACACAUAUAACUGUAAUAGCAGCAGGAGGCAGAAAGCAAAUUUUCAAGCACACUUCUACUCUACUUUAGCAUAAAAGUCACCCUGGAAGGUUAUUUGCAGACUACACUUCCAUCUUGUUUAUGAUUCAAGCUUAUAUUAAAAGAAGAAAUUAACCUAGAA